Carya illinoinensis is the source of this 2388-nucleotide RNA transcript. It is a transcript of the gene named UDP-glycosyltransferase 74B1-like, with no coding region annotated. The transcript has 4 exons. NCBI's taxonomy places the organism in Eukaryota, Viridiplantae, Streptophyta, Magnoliopsida, Fagales, Juglandaceae. The record is from RefSeq and is a predicted model, not a curated record.
AAUAUUGUGCUAGCCGAGCUGCUUCGUGCACUGAGUCAGACUUCCCUCUUUCUUCUUUAUCCGCUUUCAACUCUCUCUCUAUCUGCGAAAGCUUCACUAACUCGGACUCCGCCAUCAAGCUCAGACUAUCGUUUGGCUCCAAACUCGUGAUUCCACCCUCACCCAACAAGGAAAUUUCCACCAAUGGGAACCCUCUGAUCGACGACUACAACAACAACAACAACAACAACGUUAUUGUUGCUGCCAAGUCACAGGACUCUCAGCUAGAACGCCUAUAAGAAUAUCUCUUCUAUUUACUGAGCAAAUUCCAUCUCUGUAAACAAGAAAAUGAACAACCAGAGAGGCCAUGUCAUUGUGCUCACAUAUCCUGCCCAAGGCCACAUAAAUCCUCUCCUCCAGUUUGGAAAACGUUUGGCCAGCAAAGGACUCAAGGUAACUCUGGCCACUACUCAUUAUACCGUCAAGUCUAUUCAUUCAGCCACAGUAGGCGUGGAGCCCAUCUCAGAUGGCUUUGAUGAAGCUGGAUUUAAGCAAGCUCCAAGUCUAGAAGCCUACAUAGAUUCUUUCAAUUCAGUAGGAUCGAAAACUCUAGCAGAGCUGAUAUCAAAGUUCAAUGAUUCAGCCUCACCAGUAAACUGUAUUGUGUAUGACUCUUUGCUACCAUGGGCUCUUCAAGUGGCUAGGCAAUUUGGCAUCUAUGGUGCUGUGUUCUUAACAAACUCGGCUUCCGUUUGCUCCAUGUACUGGCAUAUCCAUCAUGGUAACCUGACUUUGCCUGUGAAGCUAGAAACUGAGCAGCUGUUGUUGCCUGGCCUUCCUCCCCUUGGCAUUUCUAACUUGCCAGCUUUUAUUGAGCAGCCCACACGUGCCUCUGCUUACUUGACAUUGAUCCUGGAGAAAUUUGGCCUUUUGGAAGAGAAUGAUUGGGUGUUCUGUAACAGUUUUGAAGAGCUGGAAAGUGAGCUAGUAAAGGCUAUGAAGGGACUCUGGCCCUUGGUGAUGAUUGGUCCAAUGGUGCCAUCAGCCUACCUAGACCAGCAGAUCAAUGGAGACAGAACUUAUGGAGCCAGUCUUUGGGAGCUUAGCAGUGACCAGUGCCUGAGAUGGCUUGAGACACAACUGCCAAAGUCAGUGGUAUACGUAUCAUUUGGAAGCAUGGCAGACAUCACAUCUCAACAGGCUGAAGAAAUUGCAGGGGGUUUAAUAGCAAGCAAUGUGCAUUUCUUACUGGUUGCAAAAGAUUCCAGGGACAAGUUUCCGAGCGGCUUUCUUAAUUCAGUACAAGGAAGAGGAUUGAUUGUGCCGUGGUGCAACCAACUAGAGGUUCUAGCACACCCGGCUGUUGGUUGCUUUGUGACACAUUGUGGGUGGAACUCAACAUUGGAGGCCUUGAGCAUAGGGGUGCCAAUGGUAGCACUUCCACAGUGGAGUGACCAGCCUACUAAUGCCAUGUUUGUGGAGGAGUUGUGGUGGGUGGGAGUAAAGGCCAAGAAAAACAAAGAGGGGAUCGUGUCGCGGGAUGAGCUAGAGAUGUGUAUAAUGGAAGUUAUGGUAGGAACAAAAAGUGAAGAGAUAAAGGAGAAUGCAAGUAAAUGGAGAAAGCUUGCAAUAAGAGCUGUUAGUUCAGGUGGAAGCUCGGAUAAGAACAUCAAUGAAUUUGUAGGUAAAUUGAUGAAAGAGAAAGGAGUGGGGAAGAAAGCUUGAUUGCUGGUUGGCGCCUGAUGAACAUAUGAACUUGUAUGUAUGAUGAUAUGUGUGAUCCAAUUCCGGGAAAGAUACUUUAGAAUGCUAGACUUAAGUAGGGACCAACUCAUACUCUUUCAGGAUGUGUUUUGGUCUUUCGAUGUUCAGUAAGAAAGGUAGCAAGUAUUCGUCACAGCUUGAAGUGAUAGAUUACUUUGAAUAAAAGACCAUUACAUGGCUGGAUGUUCAAUAUCUUUAUCCUCAUGCAACAAUUGAUUCUAGCAUUGGACUUAUAACCCAACUCCUCUUUUGGAGCUUUCAGCUGCAAUUGGCAGCAAGGAUCUCAGUUAGCUUGGGUCAACUGAACAGGUCUUUAUCUAUUGUUUGCUUCAUUUUCAGAACUGGUCUGAUAUGUGGUGGUGUUGGGGGUUGGGGGGGGAGAGAGAUUCACGAGGUCUAAAGUGGAGUGAAUUUGUUGGUUUAUGAACUGGUUUGAUACUGAAAUGUGAAAGAGUUGCUGGUUGAAGAACUGGAAAUGUUGGUGGAUAUGUUGGGUAGAGACUGAAAUAGAGUGGAUUGUGGGCUGCGGCUUGGCCUUUGUAUUAUAGGUUGAUAUUAUAAAAAGUUGAUGAUAAGGAAUCGUAGGCUACUGAAAUGCUAUUAUAAGAACUUGUAUGAAAUGUUAUUAUUGAUCUUUUUUUCAGA